GGGCUAUUAGCUCAGCGGUAGAGCGCGCCCCUGAUAAUUGCGUCGUCUCUGGUUCAAGUCCAGGAUGGCCCA
RNAcentral lists this transfer RNA (72 nucleotides) under Vanilla planifolia. RNAcentral describes it as "tRNA-Ile". It matches the Rfam family "tRNA". From Rfam's summary of the family: Transfer RNA (tRNA) molecules are approximately 80 nucleotides in length. The record is from RNAcentral. Lineage: Eukaryota; Viridiplantae; Streptophyta; Magnoliopsida; Asparagales; Orchidaceae.